GGGAACCAUAAAGAACAAAUCUUCCACAUCUGCAGCUGCCAUCUGUGCACGAGCAGCUGCUGGCAGAACCGCUGCGAGCCGGGCCGUGUUCGGGGCAGCAGCUGCUGGCAGGGCUGAGUCAGCGCUCAGGCACCAAGAAUUGAUCGUUAAUUGCCACCUCCCACCCGGUUUCCAAACUGGCCAGACAGGUGAGUUCUAUGGGGAGCGCGUCCUCGAGGUGAUUUGUCUUUUCUCCAAAUCUGCUCUGAUGUCAGAAAUCCCACGUCACGCCGCAGCAGCAAUGGGCACAGCGGUGCGUCAGCGAUCCUGGAUCUGAGGAGCGCAGGGGCUGCGCGAAGUACGCAUGCUACAGCCUCCCUGUUUCUUUGGGCUUUGGGACUGAUACUCGAGCCAAAAGGCCAUACACUGCCAUACAGGCAGGUGCCAGGGAGCCGUGAACUGACCCCGGCAGUUUGGCAAACAGCGCUUGCUCCAUUCUCACUGGCACUCUCAACCCAUGGCUGUCCAGGCUGCGCUCCCAGAUCUCAGCGUCUUGCUGUGUUAGUAUGAAAUUGGUGCUCCGCUAUCUAUUGGAAAGGUCACUGACUGCCUCUGAGGACAGACUGGAAUCAAAAUAUUUGGGCCGCCAUAGCUCCUCCAUGGAUAAAUCCCCCCUUGCUGCACAGACA
Long non-coding RNA from Numida meleagris (helmeted guineafowl), 668 nucleotides. RefSeq lists it as uncharacterized. The transcript is spliced from 2 exons. The record is from RefSeq and is a predicted model, not a curated record. NCBI's taxonomy places the organism in Eukaryota, Metazoa, Chordata, Aves, Galliformes, Numididae.